This 314-nucleotide ribosomal RNA is filed under the name uncultured bacterium. RNAcentral's name for it is "bacterial SSU rRNA". It matches the Rfam family "Bacterial small subunit ribosomal RNA", at positions 1161 to 1476 of the family's 1533-position model. The record is from RNAcentral.
AAACCGAUGAACGUGGGAUGACGUCAAGUCCUCAUGCCUUUAUGCCCAGGGCUACACACGUGCUACAAUGGGCGGUACAAAGAGCAGCGAGCUCGCGAGAGUAAGCAAAUCUCAAAAAGCCGUCCUCAGUUCGGAUUGGAGUCUGCAACUCGACUCCAUGAAGUUGGAAUCGCUAGUAAUCGCAGAUCAGCAUGCUGCGGUGAAUACGUUCCCGGGCCUUGUACACACCGCCCGUCACACCAUGGGAGUUUGUUGCACCAGAAGUAGGUAGUCUAACCGCAAGGAGGACGCUUACCACGGUGUGGCCGAUGACU